RNAcentral lists this unclassified non-coding RNA (472 nucleotides) under Hevea brasiliensis (rubber tree). Lineage: Eukaryota; Viridiplantae; Streptophyta; Magnoliopsida; Malpighiales; Euphorbiaceae. The record is from RNAcentral.
AGCAAUCUUUCACCAUUUUGACCACUCAAAGCAGCAGAAACCAGAUUAUCUUGCAAUAGAGAAGUUGAAUUCAAAAUUUGUGGCCCUUUCGUAAAUGAAAGGUUCAUAGCAGCUUCUUGAUCUAGGUUGUGAUUGAGAGGAAGAUUUGAAAAGCGCGAAUCCUUGAUCAGGCAUAAGGCAUUCUGAGGCUCAGAAGAUGAUAUAAGAUAUUGAUAAUCAGUUUCUGACGACCGAAUACAUUGAAGACCCAGUUUUUGGCAAUCCAUCAAAAGUCUCUUUGAGUUUUCCUCAUCACCUCCAGUUGGUGCACAAAUACUAGAGUUUGCGGCAACUUCGGAAACCUUACUCUGCUGCUGAGUUUCAAGAUGCAGUUGUUGCAUCCCUCCUUUAAUCCCACUCUUUUCCAGCUUCCCUUGUUUUCCAGGGAGAAAUGCCAAUGCUGCUGGGGGAGAACCAUAAAAAUCAUCUGAAA